CUUGAUGGAGCUUGUAAUUCUUGUCCCAUGUUGUUUCUUCCUCGUAGCUUUAAUAAAGUUCCUUUAUGAUUACCUGUGGGUACCUCUCCGUAUACAGCAUCUGAUGAAUUCACAGGGAAUCAAAGGACCUCCUUACAAAUUCAUCCAUGGAAACAAUGAAGAAGCUACCAAGAUGAGAGAAGAAGCAUUAAGCAAACCUAUGGCCUUGAGGCAUGAUAUAUUUCCUAGAGUGCAGCCACAUAUUUACACCUGGAUCAACAGAUAUGGUAAGAUCCAUGCAUGUUUUUCACUAUAGUGUUCCAAUAUAGUAGUAAAUGAAAUUUUGUAAGUAAUUAAAAGCUGACUUGGUUACUAAUAAAAGUUGUUUAUUCUGAUGAAAGAAGUUUUUUUACUUGAUUAUUAAUAAAAAAUUAGGAUUAUUUUAGUAAUAAAUAAUCAACAAUUGUAUCUAUUUUUAACAGAUGAUACUAAUCAAAUAAACUUCUAUUAAAUAGUUAUAUUUUUAUAAGUAGACAUUAGAAUUGGUAUAGAUAGGGGAGAGAUUUCAUUUUUAUGUUAUGAAAUAUUAAGACACGCUAAAAACCCAAAAACAAAAAAUUUCUCUAUUCUCCCUCAUCUUCAAAUAUUCAUAGGAUGUUUUAUCAAGAACUAUUGCAGAAGUUUUUAUAGAAUAUGAUACUUUUCCUAAUGUUCAGUGUACUAUUUUUCAUUAAUGCAAAAUGUAGAUAAUUACUGGGUUUCAUUAUAUUCUCGACACUUAUUUGUUUGUAACAUUUUUAACGCCUCAAAAUAUAAAUGAGAAGAAAUUGAAUCAUGAAAAAAGUGGCGUUGGUUAAUUUUUAUAAGUUUAUUUUUAUUCUUACCCACCAGUUCUAAGAAAAGAUGUACCCUUUUUUUGUUUGAUUAGGGAGGAAUUAUAUUUAUUGGAAUGGUAUUCGAGCUGUAUUAGUGAUUUCAGAACCUGAACUAGUCAAAGAGGUUCUGAAAAAUAAUGAAAAUACAUUUCCAAAAAAGAAGCCUUCGAUUUAUUUUAGCAACCUACUGGGGAACGGGCUUGUGUUGAUUGAGGGUGAAAAAUGGUUGAAGCGUCGGAAGCUUGCCAAUCAUGCUUUCCAUGGGGAAAGCUUAAAGGUCAGUCCUCAAAAUAUUUGUAUCGAUUGUAAUUAAUUUACAUGAACUAUACUUAUACUGCAAAAUUAAGGAUCUAUAAUUGUUGGCGAAAUCGUAUAUCGUUGCUUACAUAUUUUGGAGGAUUGUUUGGGUAGAACAUGACACCAGCAGUAAUUGCAAGUGUUGAAACAAUGCUAGAGAAAUGGAAAGGCCAAGAAGGCAAAGAGAUUGAAGUGUUUCAAGAAUUUAGAUUAUUGACUUCAGAAGUGAUAUCCAGGACAGCUUUUGGUAGCAAUUACUUGGAAGGGGAGAAGAUCCUUUCCAUGUUGAAAGAGUUGUCUGUAAUUAUGAGUCGAAAUAAUUUCAAGACUAGAAUUCCUCUCAUCAAGUAUGUUCCAAGAUUUUAACUAGUUUUCGAAUGCAAAUUUUAGGAUGUUUAUCCAUAUGGAUUCAGUUUUCUCCUUAUAUAUGGUUGACACAGCUGGUUUGUUUUUUACAGCAAGUUAUGGAAACCUGCUGAUAUGCUAAGGUCAGAAGAACUUGCAAAAGGAAUACAAGAUUGUGUGAUGAAGAUUGUUAAGAAAAGGGAAGACAAAUUUAAGAAAGGAGAAGCUGAUAGUUUUGGUAAUGAUUUUCUAGGAUUACUUGUAAAUUCCUAUCAUUCGAAAGAUAAUAACAGUCUAUCAAUGGAAGACUUGGUAGAUGAGUGCAAAACAUUUUACUUUGCUGGACAAGGAACUAUUAAUUCCUUACUAGCAUGGAUAGUCUUGCUUUUAGCAACCCAUGGAGAUUGGCAGGAGAAAGCUAGAAGAGAGGUGAUUGACAUAUUCGGUAACCGAAAUCCAGAUUCUGAAGGCAUUUCUAAACUCAAAAUUGUAAGUAUACUGUCCAACAUUCCAAAAUAUUUUGUAUCUCAAUCUCAGGUUUUUUAGUCAGGUCAUGUUUAUCGCAAUUGCAAAUUCAACAAAUACUAUGCAUUUAGUACAUUAUAUUCUUUAAUUUGACCAAGAGGAGUUGCAAGAGAAGUGCAGUUGGGAAAACUAGUCUUGCCUUCUAACAUAGAUCUUCUGGUCCAAAAUAUUGCACUUCACCAUGACCCUUACCUGUGGGGAGAUGAUGUGCAUCUUUUUAAACCAGAGAGAUUUGCAAAAGGGAUUGCCAAAUCUACCAAUUACAAUGCAGCUGCAUUUUUUCCCUUUGGAUUAGGACCUCGAUCUUGUGUUGGUAUGUCCUUUGCAACCACAGAAACGAAGAUUGUGCUCUCCAUGAUUCUACAACGCUACACCUUUACCCUCUCCCCUGCCUAUGUCCACUCACCAAUGCCUAUUGUCGACCUUCAACCGCAACAUGGAAUUCAAGUAAUACUUGAACCACUGCAUAACAAUGAUUGAUGUACACAACAGCUAAGGACAUGGGAUUCAACUCUGUUUGUUACAACAUUCACCUUUAAGAGGUAACAUUUAAGAUAUCCGGGGUUUUUAGUAUUAACAACCCCUUCCCUAUUCCUAAGCUACGCCCUCCUCUAAACAAAAAGAAAUCUAUGCAUUUGCUAGUUUCCUUAGAUGGUAAAACAUGUGAUUAAACAAUACAUCCUUCAUAUGGCGCAUAUUCCAGCAAGUAAACAGUUAUAUUAUAAUGCAUUUUACUUCACCAUUCUGCUCAUAUUUCAUUUGAAUUGCAGUGUUAUCAUCCUAAAGUCACUCUAGCAAGCAAUGAGGUUGCAAGUUUCUGAUAAAUUUAGUUCUAACAGACUACUUAAGCUAAUCCACCUUGGUGCUUUGUUUUCUUUUCCUAAACUAUAUUUUUUGCUAUUCCUAGCCCAUUUAAGCAUUCAGUUGGAAGAUGGUCGAGAGUUGUUAUAGCAUUCGGAAAGAAAAGGUUAGUGUGUGUUAAGUGACUGUGUGAGGCUAAGGUUAUGAUAAUCUUCAGAUUGGUUCUGCUUACAUUAUCUAUAAUAUAAAAUUUACUUUUUAAAAAGUUGUUUAACAAGCUUAUAGCUAAGAUAGGAUAUCCAAAUAAAAUAUAUUAACAAAAAGUAACGAACAAGUGUUGGGUGGAAUGAUAAUUGCAGUAUCAAGGGGAGAAACUUUUGAUGGAAAAAAGUGCUAGGUACCCGUAAUGUUCAGGCAAACCUUCUUCAUGUAAAACUUCGCCGGAAAGAUGAUUUCAUAGGGUUCUAUUUCGUCUUCAAUCCAAUCAUUGUUCACGUUUUUUUUUCUUAUCAAUAAAUAGAUCUAUUUACUUGUAUGACUUAGAUAUCUCGUAUCUCUCAAAAUAAUGGUUCGAUUGAUGAGAUUUGGUACGAUAUUUAUGAGAUCAAUGAUAUCGAUGAUAUUGAUAUUCAAAUAUUUCUUCUUAAAUCAUAUUGAUUUAACCCCAUAAGCAAGAACACCACCCCAUAAUGUUGCCUCCAAAAGCAGAACCUCGUAUUUCCUCUAGAGAAUCUCUUAAUUGUUCAAGAGUACCUAGAAUGAAAUUCUUUAAUUAGAAAGAAUUUAGUUUAGAUGUAGGAUAUCUAUCUAGAAGUUUUCGCAACUCAUGAUAUAGAAUCAUAAAAAAAAUUCUGACUUUUUAAACAAAUAGAUCACUUGGGUGUAGAAAAGAAAUAAUUAAUAAUAAAAAUUGGUAUAAUUAGAAAAGAAUAUCUUAAGAGUUCAUUUUGUUCUCACACUAACUUUUAAUAUUUAUAUAUUAUUUUAUAAAGAAAUAUUAUAAAAAAUUCUUUUAAAAAUUGAUAUUUUUAUAAUACAUCACUCAAUGUUGAAUACAUUUCAUUAAUAAACAAUAAUUAGCUUAAUUAUUAAGAGUUGAAUUAACUAUUUUUUAAUGAAGCAUUCUCUCUCUAAAAUCUCCAUCCUCACCACUAUUCUUAUCUAAUUCACCUUCAAGUUUUAAAAUCAAUGCUCUAUCAUGUUUUGAUUUUCUUUUAAAUUUAUUUUAAAUUUUAAAAAUUCCUUUUUUAAAAUCUCAAAUAUAUUACAUUUCACACUUUUAAGAAAAUAAUGUACGUUCAAACAUUGAAAAUGACAUAAUUAAAUAAGAUAAUCACGAAUCCUGAAAAUGAACCUAAAACGAUUUGUCCAAUUCAAAAUUUGGAAUGAUAGAAUCUUAAUAGAAAAUUUGACAUAAGUUUUUUGAAUAAUCUUAUUGAGGAAGAAAGAAGAUGGGACAAGAAUUACAAACUUCAUCAAGCCACUCAUUUUUCUGCUUUUGCUUCUUAUAUCAUGUUUGACGCUAUUUUGUCUUUUUUACUUGUAAAUUAGAAGAGAUGCUCCCAAUUAUUCAUUCAUCCUCUCAUAUUCAAUUGCUUAUUGUAAACUUAAUUUAAAGGAUCAAUGAUUUAUAUAAUCUCCAUGAAAUUUCUGUCACUAUUUUUUUUUAUUAUUUUUUUCUAGCCAUUGUUGACUAACUGCACCUGUUAGUGGUGAAAUGAAAAAUUUUUCAUUUUACACCCUUUAUAAUUUAUAAAAUUUUAAAUUAAUAAUAAUAAAAUUAUAUUUUGACUUCUCUAAAACUGAUAAAAAUUUAAUUUAAUCUUUCAAAAAUUAUAAAAUGUAAACUAUUAAAAUAAUGAAAUUACAUUUUUAGAUUAUAUAAACUAUUAAAAUUUCGAAUAUUUUGAUGUAAUUAAAAAUAAUUGUUUAAACUAUCCUUUUAAAAAUAUAUUUAAUAUCUUAAUAUAUAAAAAAUUCCGUAUUAAAAUUAAAAUAUUUAAAUAAUCAUGUUGUAUAUAUAUUGAAACACGUUUGAAUUUUAUAUAUCAAAAUAUAUUUUAAAUUAUCACGUGAACAAGCUAUAUUCUAUAAAAAGGAAACACGUAAUAUAUACUAUUUAAAUAAUCAUGUUUUUAAAUAAAUUACACUUUUGGUCCUUUUCUUUUUGAAAAUUUGUAGUUAUGUCACCUAACUUGAGAUUUUUUAUCACCGAAAUUUGUAAACCUAUUAAUAUAUUAUUUGAAUUAGAAUUUCUUGGUUCAGUACUUAAAAUUUUGUAGAUGUUCAAUGGAAUAUAUUUAUUCCAACUUUAAAUUUAAAGAAUAAAAAUAUAAUAAAGUAAAAGUUGAUAUAUAAUCUUAAUUUUGUAUAGACUAAUUUCAAACUCAAUGCUACCAACAACUCCUAGAAAUUAAGAGUACUAUCCACUAAUUAUAGCAAUAAACUUACAUGAGUGAGGGAUUUCUUGAAACAAUCAGCAACCAAUUUUGACUCUUUUUACCAAUUAUUUUAUAUAUUUAUUUGUAUUUUGAAGUUAACUUUAAAAUAUUCUAUAUAAAAUGAAUUUAAUAACAAUAAAUUGCCUUUUACGUUUACGAAAUUUGACCAAAUGAAAACGUUUCAAAGUGAAAGACAAUAUGGAAUCCAAAUUAUAGCUGAUGAAAUGUUAUUUCUUUUAAUUAUUAAAAACAUUAUAAUUAAGAGAUAUGAUUAUUUUAAUAAAUAGUUAUAAUUAUUAUUAAAAAAUUUCACUAUUUAAAUAGUGUUAUAAAUAUCUUAUUAAGUGGAUGUCCAUCAAGAUCAAUAUAAGUCUUUGAUGUACUUUCAAUUCUAAUAGCCAUUAGAAGUAGGUUUUGCAAAUAUUCUGAUUGAUCAAUAAAUUACGCUCUCUCUUUGUUCUCCUUCUUCUUUGUUCUUUGUCUUUUAUUUUAUAACACGUUAUCAUAACGAUUCUCUUUUAAUUGUUUUUCUCCAUAAGUCACAAAAAUAUCCAAAAUUUUAUUGUUAUCGAUUGCCUCCUAGAGUUGCUACGCGCACUAUGGGUAAUCAUUAGAGCCUUUAACCAAUGAGGUACACAUAAUUCUCUACAUUUUUUAUGUCCUUUUAUGUAAAAAAAAUUAUAUAAUUCUUACGUGGUAUGUUUUUCUCCUUUAUUUAUUGAUUUUUGGAAAAAUUAUUUUACAAAAAAAAGUAUUAUUACUUUAAGGUUUCUUUUAAACUAAGAUUCGCAUAAUAUUUAGAUGUUUAAAGAUUUGAUUAUUAAAUUCUUGUCAUUAAAUAUUCUUGUAAUAUGAUUAAAAUUAUAGUGGAAAGUGUUAUUAACCUACCAUAGUUGAUCUAUUGAGUCUUACUAACUUUCUAAUGUUGAAUGAUUGUAUUAUAUCUUUUAAAUUGAAUUUAUAAAUAUUUGAUUAGAAGCUUCAAAAGAUUAAUUUAUAACAUAUAUGUGGUAUUGAAAUUUGGUACAAUGUGUAUCAAAUAACUUUCAAGCAUCGUACACACAAACUAAAUGAUUUUUUUACUAUUAGAUUAUAAAUGUUAUUACAAAAACAAAAUUGUUUUACUACUUGUCAUAUUGCUCGUGAUAAUAGCCAAGGUGAUACAAUGAUGUUAAAGAAUCUCAGGUAUAUUUUAUUAUAAUUUAUUUAUUAUGCCAUGUUUAUUAUAAUUGGAGACUAAUCACGACAACAUGAAUAGAUAGAUUUUGAUUUAAAAUCCACGCAUGUUUUGCAAUGGUGAUUAUGAAAUAAAGAAUCAAUGGAGGCGUUUAGAAGUAUGCCCCACUAGAUUUGUUGCAUUCCUUGAAGUGAAUGUAAACAUAAAGAAAAUAAAAGAUAUAAUCAUGGAUCACUAAAAGUGGGAACAUAGUAAUAAAUAAGAGAACAAUGAGAGUUCUCCAGAUAACUCUUCAAAGGGUAAAUAUAACUUAUGUUAUCAAUGUGAUAUGAAAUAUUAUUGGCCACAUAUGUGGCGUAUCCCAAAUAUUUUGUUUCUGUUAAUAUUUUUGAGGAAGGAUAUGAGAAUGUAGAAAUAAAUUAUGUUAUUACAGAUAUAAAAUAUUUAUCUUAUUUGAUACUGAAACAAACAAAUAUUAUUCAAAUAUUUGGUAGUACAAAAUUAGUCGACAGCUCCAGAAGAGCUAAUAUAUUAAUAUCAUCCCCAAUGGUUAAUCCAUUGGUUUUAAAAACUAUUCAUUGUAAUGGAUCUCAUAUUGAUAUUGUAAAUGAGGAAAAAAUUAUAUUUCAUAUGAAUCACUGUUGCUAUAAAUAUCUAUUUUAAAAAGAUAAAAAAAAGGGAAGGAUUGAGUUAUUAAUUAAUCUUGUUAUUAAAUUGAAUUUAUUAUGACUAUCUUUGUGAUCUUUUGUCAUCAUCCCCAUUAAGGGGUUGAAAGCAAAAUAUUUAACUGUGAAAAAUCUACUUAUGAGCAAUAGAAUAUGGUAAUUCUAUCUAAAACUUGUUAUGGUUGGAUGCACUUGAAGUUGCAAGUUUUUUAAAACAAUGAGUAUAACUCUAUAGUAUUCAGAAUAAGAUCUUAAUUAAAAUCACGUGAAAAAAUAUUACUGAUGAGAAAUUGCAAGAGAGAAAACUUAUGUAUGAAAAAGUCAUUGGUUAUGUACCUGUUGUACACCUGGAAAAUAAAAUUCACUCUUAAAGCUUGCUAUUAAUAGAUUUUGGUUGGAUUCAAAGUCUACUACUGAAGUUUAAUUUGUUUACUUCUUGAUCAAAUCGUCAAGACUCAACGCAGAAAAAAAAAGGUACAUAUUAAAAUAUUAAAUCAACUUGAUAUAUGGUUUAAAGAUUUGAAAUGGUCUUCUUUUUAAGUUUUGAUUACAUGGGUUACAUAUUGUUUUCGGUAUCUUAUUUGUUCAUGAAAAUGACUAUUAACUGAUUUUAUAACAACCCAAAACUCGACCCAGAAGUUUUGACCAAAUUCCGGAGGUUUCAUUGGCCACCCGAAGUGGCGAAAGUAAAAACUCUGAAUUAAACAUAGAAAAUUAUUUUCGAAACCAUUUUGAUGACUAAUUAUAGCAAGUUAGAUAAAAACUUAGUUAUAUUUUGAAAACAAUGUUUACUUGGCGGCAAUGACUAAGUCAGGAAUAAACCAAAUUGGUCUUUCUUGAACAGUUUCAAAAGCAUCAAAUUUUAUCAAUCACAAACCAAAAUUCAAAACUGGAAACACAUAAUUUAACGAACAAUCCAAUUACAAAACCCAUACCACAUUUUAUAAACUCCCUUACAAAUAAACUAAAAAUAAUAAAUUGAAUUUAAGAAAUAUUGUUAAAACAAACCAAACUUUUUAAGUAUCCGAGACUUCUGAUAUGCCGAGUUCAACCUCCAAGCUCCAAGUUAACCUGAAAAGAGAGGAAACUAAGGGGAUAAGCUAUACGAGCUCAGUGUGAGACUGGAAGAGCGGUGAAGGCAAAAGACCGUAUACCAAAAUGGAUAUCUUAAAAGAAAUCUUGCAGACUAAGUGUGAAAGUCUUGAUCUGGUACUCAGACAUAUAAACAAUGUCAUUGCCAAACAUAACAUAAAGAUAAUAUACUUAACACACUAAUUACUUAAUCAUGUUAGACUACUUAAAUUAUUUCACAGAUGUGCUACUAUCCUUGCCAACAGACUUAUACUCAAAUAUGAAAAUGUAUGCAACAAACUAAAAACUCACCCAACCAACUGAACACCACUUCGUCCUUCCUGCACACCACACAAGGCUAUAAUAAUCCUAUCUACCCAGCACACCACAUAGGACCAUGAUAGGUCCAUCCACCCUACACAUCACAAAUGUGUAACUCAGCCACUAGAAUUAAAAUGUGCGGCUGAGCUGACAUAUGUAUAAAAUCAUGCAGUAACCCGCUAUACAAAAAUAUUGUAGUUGAACUGCUAAAUCAGUCUUCCUUCUCUUCACAACCAAAAUCCUAGAUUUUUAUGCAAAUGCAUGAAUGCACACAAUUCACUAACAGACUCAUCGAAAUAGAGACAUACUUUCGGUUGAAUACAUUCAGAAUCAAUUAUACUUGUAUUCAUUCACUAGGUAAUAUUUCAAAUCCAUUUAUCACAUCAUAUUAAUGCAUAAAUAAACAAUUAACUUUAAUCCUAUAAUUGCAAAUACACACACGGAUUUGAGCUGAAACAAAGUCCCAACACACUUACAGAGACCUUAACAAACAUUGGGCUACACAGAAAUUAAAACGAGUCAGUUUACAAAACAGGACAAAAAUUUGUGAAAUAGAGCCAUACGGCCGUGUGGAGGAAUUCAGACCACGUGAGGGGUCUACACGGCCGUAUGAAAGAGGGACAUGACAGUGUGUUGGAGACACACACCUGUGUGAUAGGGUUACAUAGUCGUGUGAGUAACCUGUGUAACUCACUGUGCAUUUGUGCAAAAUUUAGCAAAAUUUGAGAAGCAGAAUAGACACAGUUGUAUGGCCAACUCAAAUGCCCGUCUGGCUAAGAAACACGACUGUGUGUCCAAGGCAUAUGCUCGUGUAGAAAAUAAUUAAAUCCCCAAAUAUAGCCACACGACCAUUUGGCACACCCUAAUUUGUAUGACAAAAAAAUUACCCUAAUUUCGCAGUGACACACGGCCGUGUGGACCGCCCGUGUGGCUACCCAUGUGGUCACGAAACCACACCGAAACAGGUUGAAAAUCGUGAAUUUACGACAGCAAAACAAUUCCUAAUCACUAAUAGUUUAGAAACAUACCUUAAAUCGGGACUCCGAUCACUAAUAACUGAUUGUUUCGCCUCCACAAAACCAUUCUAGAAACUCAAUUACAAUUACCCACAAAAUAUUUUAAAACCUCAGUCAACAAUAUUAAAGAAUCAAGAAAAUCAAACUAAAAUUUAAAAGGAGUACUUACACAUUUCAGCACUAAAACUAAUGAACAUGCAAAUCUCCUAACAAAGCAACCAAAACCAAGGCCCCAAUGAACCACCAAAAUAGCGCAAAACUAGCAAACCUUAAUAACCUAAUGGUAACAAGAGAAACUAAAGAACUAGAGAAUAAAGGCACCACAAAAACUCAAUGGCCAAAAAGAAUCAAAAAUUGAAACUGGAAAUGAAAUAGAGGAAAAACAACGUGUGAAAGAGAAAAGAGAAAAAUAAAUAAAAUCAACGAACCUACCUUAUAUGUGAAGGAAUAAGGAAAGGAGACCAUGCUGAUACUAUCCUUAUAUGUUGACGAUCUGUUAGAAAUUGGCAUUAGUGGAAACCUGCUAGUUGAGUUCAAGAAACAAAUGCGAGCUGAAUUUGAAAUGUUUGAUCUUGGAGACAUGACUUAUUUUCUUGGUCUAAAACUAUUUCAGUCAGAUCAAGGUAUCUUCAUCAAUCAAAAGAGCUUUGCCUUGAAGAUAUUGAAUAGAUUUUGUAUGGAAAAUUGAAAGCCUGUAGGGACUCCCAUUGCUCAAGGUGAAAAACUCCCAAGCCAUGGUUAAUUUGAAAUAGUUUAUGAAGGCAGUUAUAGGAGCCUUAUAGGAUGUUUGUUUUAUUUGACAGCAUCGUGGCUAGAUAUUAUCUUUUCUGUCAGUCUUUUUUAAAUAUUUAUGCAUUGUUGUAAUGUGAUCCAUUUUAAAGCUACGAAGAGGGUUCUAAGGUAUGUCAAAGGAACUUUGAGUUAUGGAGUUGAAUAUGUGAAGGAAAGGAGCUAAAGUUGACUGAUUUCACAAAUAGUGAUUGGGCUGGUUCUGUCGAACAUAUGAAGAGCACUUCAGGGUACUUCCUCACUUUGAGAUCAAGUGUAUUCAUUUAGAGCUCAAGGAAGCAAGAAACUGUUGCACAAUCAACCGCUGAAAUUGAGUACAUCGCAAUAACUGCAGAGCAAGCCAAACACUUUGGCUAAGAAAGUUGAUGUCUGAUUUAAAUCUUAAGUAAGUCGAAGCAACAGAGAUAUAUUGUGACAAUCAAUCUGUUGUUGCAAUUUGAAAGAACCCUAUCUUCCAUGACAAGGCAAAACACUUCAAGAUAAAAUACCACUUUGUUAGAGAGGUCGAGCAAUAAAAUGAAGUGAAGCUUGUUCAUUGCAGUUCAGAUAUUCAACUUGCUGAUAUUCUCACAAAACCUCUUGAAAAGUUGAGGUUCGAGAGGCUAAGACAUGAUAUUGGAGUUUGCGGCAUUAUGGCCAAGGAGGAGUGUUGUGAAGUGGGGAUUCAUACAGUGGCGAACUCAAAAGGCACGAGCUCAAACAAGUCUGCGAGCUCUACACUUCUAAGCUCAUCCAAAGUUGUGAGCUUACCUAAAGAUGCGAGCUCAACUCAAGUUGCGAGCACGUCAAAGUGUGAGCUAUUAAGUUUUUUGGUGAAACCCCAGUUAAAGUGCGAGCAGGGUUCACAUAUGUUGAUAUCAAUGUUUUUUUGUUUAGUCUACAUAGGGUGAGUUUGGAUGAGCGGUGCGUUUAUCUGCGGUUAGUGUAAAAACAGUGGUGGUGAGAUUAGAUACUGUAGCGAUACUGUAGCGUGAGACAAAAAGUAAGCUAAACGCACCGCACCGCACGCAAUCGCCCAUCCAAACCCACCCUUAUUUGAGUUUACUUGUCAAAGCAAAUAGAGUUAGUAUUGAUUUGAUGUUUUUAAGUAUUGAUUUCUUAACUUAUUAAUGUAAUUCAUGUGAAUUGAAAGAUGACAAAUUUGAUAGCAGUUCAUAAAUUAGCCAAGUAUUUUUCCUUAUUUUCUCUCUUAUUUUGUUAUGCUCUCUCAACUUCUCGAAACACCAGCAGCAUCCUUGUCAUCAUUUUAAUAUAUCUUUAUAAACUUUAAAUAAUUAAAUAAAAUUUUUAUCAUUUAAAUAAAUUUUUUAUCAUUUUUGAGAUCAAAGUACAAUUUUACCCUUAUUAAUUUAAAAUUUUAUAAAGUAUAUCACAUUAGAUUACCAUUUAAAUCCUUUGUUAAGUUUGGCUAUAAAACUAAAGGCGCAUAUGGAUUCAGUGGUAAGAGAAGAAAAAAAGAGUGACUUGAUGGAGCUUGUAAUUCUUGUCCCAUGUUGUUUCUUCCUCGUAGCUUUACUAAAGUUCCUUUAUGAUUACCUGUGGGUACCUCUCCGUAUACAGCGUAUGAUGAAUUCACAGGGAAUCAAAGGACCUCCUUACAGAUUCAUCCAUGGAAACAGCAAGGAAGUUGCCAGAAUGGAACAAGAAGCAUUAAGCAAACGUAUGGCCUUAACAGAUGAUAUAUUUCCCAAAGUACUGCCACAUUUUUACACCUGGAUCAACAGAUAUGGUAAGAUCCAUGCAUGUUUUUUCAUUAUGAUUUAUAACUCGUAGUUCUAAGAAAAGAUUGACCUUUUUCUUUUCAAGUGAUUAGGGAGGAAUUUUGUUUAUUGGAACGGUGCGCGACCUGAAUUGGUGAUUUCAGAGCCUGAAUUAAUCAAAGAGGUUCUGCAAACUAGUGAAAAAAAAAUUCAAGAAAAGAGCCUUUCAGAUAUUGGUAAGGAGUUCCUGGGGAAUGGGCUUCUAUUCAUUGCGGGGGAAAAAUGGGCAAAGCAUCGAAAGCUAGCCAAUCACGCUUUCCAUGGGGAAAGCCUUAAGGUAAAUCCUCCAGUAUGAUUAAUUGACAAGAAUUAUACAGACUACAGAAUUUUGUAUUGUUGCCUAACAACCAGUUUAUAGUCGAAGUUGAAAGUAUUCGUAGAAAAGUAUUUUUUUAACCUCAAUAGUAAGCAAAGUCUAAAUAGUAUGUGGCAACUACUUAUAUAUUGAAGGAUUGUUUGGGCAGAACAUGACUCCAGCAAUAAUUGCUAGCGUUGAAACAAUGCUAGAAAAGUGGAAAGGUCAAGAAGGCAGAGAGAUUGAAGUGUUGAAAGAAUUUAGGUUAUUGACUUCAGAAGUGAUUUCCAGAACAGCUUUUGGUAGCAGUUACUUAGAAGGGGAGAAGAUUUUUGCCAUGUUACAGAAGUUGACAAUAAUUAUGAGUCGAAAUCUUUUUAAGACUAGAAUUCCUUUGAUCAGGUAUCUUCCCUAUAAGCUUAAUUAAUCCCAACUUUUACCUUGAUUUCAGCUAGCUUUUGAAUGCAACUUUUGGACUUUCAUUCCCAUGGAUUUGGUUUUCUCCUUAUAUAUAGCUGACCAUUGUUUGCUUUUGCAGCAAGUUGUGGAAAUCUUCUGAUUUGCUAGAGUCUGAAAAACUUUCAAAAGAAAUAAAAGAUCGUGUGAUGAAGAUUGUUAAGAAAAGAGAAGACGAAGCUGUGAAUGGAGAAGUCAAUAGCUUUGGCAAUGAUUUUCUUGGAUUACUUGUAAAUGCCUAUCAUGAUUCGGACGAGAAAAACAGGUUUUCAUUGGAAGACUUGUUAGCUGAAUGCAAAACAUUCUAUUUUUCUGGACAAGAAACUGUUAAUUCCUUACUUUCAUGGAUAGUCUUGCAUUUGGCAAUCCACGGAGAUUGGCAAGAAAAAGCGAGAAGAGAGGUGAUUGACAUAUUUGGUAACCAAAAUCCGCAUCUCGAAGGCGUCGCCAAACUCAAAAUAGUAAGAAAACUAUCUAACUGGGAAUUCAAAUAGCCAUCAACAUGAUGUAAUCUAACAUAUUUUUCUAUUUUCCAAACAGACGACCAUGAUCAUCAAUGAAACUCUAAGAUUGUAUGGUCCAUCAAAUGGCCUGGCAAGAGCAGUUACAAGAGAUGUUCAGUUGGGAAAGCUACUCUUGCCUGCUAAUAUAAGUAUUCUGCCUUUAUAUAUUGGAAUUCACCAUGACCCUCACUUUUGGGGAGAUGAUGUGCAUCAUUUUAAACCCGAGAGAUUCGCUGAAGGGAUUGCGAAAGCUACCAAUUAUACCGCGGCUGCAUUUCUUCCCUUCGGGUUGGGACCUCGAUCUUGUGUUGGUAUGACAUUUGCAACAAUAGAAACCAAGAUUGUUCUCUCCAUGAUUCUACAACGUUACACCAUUACCCUCUCCCCUGCCUAUAUCCACUCUCCGAUAUCCAUUCUCAGCAUUAGACCACAACAUGAAAUUCAGGUGAUACUUGAACCACUGCAUCAUAAUGCUUGAAGUACAUAGCUGUUAAGAACUAAGGGUUUAACGUGGUUCAUGUAUUUUAGGUUUAAGAGAUGACAUUUAAUAUGUUUAAGGUUCCAGCAUUUGCAUCCCCUUCCCUAUCCUAAGCUAUACCCACCUUUAUACAUAAUGAAAUUCAAGUAGCUACUGAUUUCCAAGAUGGUAAAACGCAAUCAAUAAAGAAGAAUAUGUUGAGGCAAGUUUCGGGAACAGUGACUUGAAAACUGACAACUGCACUCGGCACGUGUCCCUUAUUUGUUAGCAUGUUUAAAAUAAAUAUUUUAAAAUAAAUAUUUUAAUUAUUUGCUUGCAUCUUUUUAAAGAUUUUGUACAUUCUUAAACUAAUGGUUAUACUAAGGCUUGUUAGCGGUUUAAACUUUGGGCAAAGCACAAUAGACGUAGAUAUGUUCUCCCUCAUUGGUGUCGAAUUUACUAAAAAUAAAUUCUUCUACUUGAUACUGAAAUUAAAUUUAUAAUAUAGAGAGUAAAGUCGAUCCCACAUAAGUUAAUCUAUCCAAAUAUAUAUUCUUUAUAACUAGAACGUGUCCCAAGUAGUUUUUAUGCCCAUGACUUGUGCGAACCUGUACCAAAAAUAAGAGGGGAUAAAAUCUGAAAAAUAAAUAAACAACCGAAAUUAAUUAAAAAUAAAAAUAAAGUAGAAAUAAGUAAAAUGAAAUAAUAUUAUUGAAUUAAAUAAUUUCAGUUUUUAUAAAAAAAAUUUAUCAUACACACCUGGAAAAUAUGAAACACAUGGUUAAAUCUUAUUGGCUUCUGGACUAAAAAUAUUAAAUAAAAGAAAGUUUUGGGUAAAAACAAUUUAAACAUGAAUGUGAGAAAGUGAGUAUAGUUUAAGAGCUAAAAUAUGAAUAAAGUCUAAAUAAAUUCCUAAAAUAUAAAAAUUCAUAAAUACAUUAAUGUGAUUAUAUAUAAUCAAAAUUAAAUAUUAAAAUCAAACUAAAUAUGAUUUAAACUUGAAUGAAACUCGUAAUUCUCGUAAAAUUCUUAUUCAAAAAUAAGUUUUUGAACUCGAAAUAAGAAAAUAAAUUUAUUAAAAGAGGAAACCACUGGAUGAUACAAGUCCUUGCAAGAGCAAUUACAAAAUCUGCUGAACUGCACAAUUAACAUACACCAAUAUGACAUCACCACAAGAAAAGCACACUUUACCAAUGCCAGAAAACCAUAGCCCGGAGCAGAAAACAAGAAGCGAGAGAGCAAGUUAUAUCUGAAAACAAGCACUACUACGAAACCCUUCUCAACAUGGCAAACACCACAUCAGAAACUAAGACAAACAGCAGCUCCACCCAUAAUCCAGAACCAAGCAACUAACUAUAGUGAUCGCCCUUGCUUAAAAAAAACAAAGAAAACUUUACAUAGAUCAACGAGUAAGCAUUGGACCUCACCCCAAGUAAGAAAACGAUCCAUCAAACCUUGAAAAAGCUUUAGACACCAUCACUUAUCAGUAGAUAAGAAACCUAAAACAGAGCCAACACCAGCAACACCUUAUCAAGACCAACAGCCUAGAAAAAAUCUCAAUGGAACCGAUAUCAAACGAAACUCAAUGCCAUAUCGGCUCCCAUAAAACUUUCAAACCACCCCACUGUAGCUCUUAAGACUGACGAUAACCAUACUUUAAAAUCACCAAAGCAUCCACUUCGAGAGACACCUUCAACCAUAACACAAUGAAUAGACUCAAAUUCAAUUCUAUAAUCACAACAUACAAAAAAAGACAGAAGCCAUAUUCAAUAAAAUAACAGCCUCAACCAAUCAGUAGGCCCAUAAAAGGCACAAAACACCAUAAUGCAUCAUCCAACCUCAACAACAUAGGGUUUGUUUAUCAUGGUGUUAUAAUCAAUAUUGGGUUCAAACCCACUAUAAGUAUAUUUUUAUUGAUUUUUAUUAUCUAGAAGAGUAGAUAUUAUACACGAACAUUUUAGUUAUUAGAUAUUUGUAAUAUUAAUGGUAAGGAUGUUGACAUGUGUCAACAAUUCAAUGGCCGCUAAACCUUAUAAAUAGGGAUAGUAGUUUUCAUUUCUGGUACCUAUGUGCAACAGAGAAGUGUGUGUCAUAUUGUAAUUGUAUUGUGCAUUAAUAAAGUGUUCUUUCCUCUUAUAAUUGUAAGUCCCGGCUAAGCCUUAGUUUUCUAAGCACUUAGUGCACUUGAGGAGUUAGCUUCUAUAUAUGGUUGGUUCUACAGUUUGAAUGAUAUAUGAUCGGCUCUGCCGCUUGAAUAAUAUAUGAUCAGCCCUGUUGCCUUAGUAUUAUAGUGCAUUAAGAAGUUAGAAAAUAAAAGGUUAACCGGCUCAAAAAAUUCGUUGGAAUAUUUCUUGUAGGUCUUAGGUCUUCUAUAAUGGGUGUGUUGGGCUCAUCGAGUUCCCAACAACAAAUUUUAGGAUGUUUAUUCCUAUGGAUUUAGUUUUCUCCUUAUAUAUGGUUGACAUUAGUUUGCUUUUACAGCAAGUUAUGGAAACGCGUUGAUAUGCUGAAGUCAGAAGAACUUGCAAAAGGAAUUCAAGAUUGUGUGAUGAAAAUUGUUAAGCAAAGAGAAGACAAAUUUGUGAAUGGAGAAGCUGACAGCUUUGGCAAUGAUUUUUUAGGAUUACUUGUAAAUGCAUAUCAUGAUUCGGAUGAAAAUAACAGGCUUUCAAUGGAAGACUUGGUAGAUGAGUGCAAAACAUUCUACUUUGCCGGACAGGAAACUGUUAAUUCCUUACUUGCUUGGAUAGUCUUGCUUUUAGCAACUCACGGAGAUUGGCAGGAUAAAGCUAGAAGAGAGGUGAUUGACAUAUUCGGUAACCGAAAUCCAGAUUCCAAAGGCAUUUCUAAACUCAAAACUGUAAGUAAAUUGUCAAAUAUUCCUAUAUAUUUUUUAUCUCAAUCUCAAAGCUGGUGUUUCAAUCACGUCUUGUUUAUCGCAAUCACAAAUGUAACAAAUAUUAUGUGUUUAGUACAUAUUCUUUAAUUUAAUCUGACCUAUUCUUGUUUUGCAAACAGAUUACUAUGAUUAUUUAUGAAACACUAAGAUUGUAUGGUCCAUCAAAUGGCUUGCAAAGAAGAGUUACAAGAAAAGUUCAGUUGGGAAAGCUAGUCUUGCCUGCUAAUAUAGAUAUUCUGGUUCAAAAUAUUGCACUUCACCAUGAGCCUCACCAGUGGGGAGACGAUGUACAUCUUUUUAAACCAGAGAGAUUUGAAGAAGGGAUUGCCAAAGCUACCAACUACAAUGCUGCUGCAUUUUUUACCUUCGGAUUGGGACCUCGAUCUUGUAUUGGUAUGUCCUUUGCAAUCACGGAAACUAAGGUUGCAAUCUCCAUGAUUCUACAACGCUACACCAUUACCCUCUCCCCUACCUAUGUCCACUCACCAAUGCCUAUUCUCGCCAUUCGACCACAACAUGGAAUUCAAGUAAUACUUGAGUCACUGCAUAACAAUGCUUAAAGUACACAAUAGCUAAGGGACUUGAGGUUUAACUCAAUUUGUUUAUGUAUUCACCUUUAGGUGUUAAAAUUUAAUAUAUGUGGCACUUUUAACAUUAGUAACCCCUUCCUAUUCCUAUGCUAUACCCUACUCAACGCAAAAACAUGGUAAAACAUGCAAUCCAUAAAUAUAUAUAUAUAUAUAUAUAUGUGUGUGUGUGUGUAUGUGUGUUUCAGUAUUGUUGAUCAAUAUAUAAUUUUUACUAGCUAUGCCUUAUUUCAUUUGAAUUGCAGUAUUACAUCCUAAAGCCUUUCCAGCAAGCAAUAGCAGCAAGAAUUAAACUAAGUUGUGAACAUCGAUACAUUGUACGAUAGGCUUGAUCAAGAGCAUUAGCCAAACAACAGCAGCAAACAUAUCCCAUAGAUGCCACUUGAUAUCAAACACCAUAGAUACCACUCGAUAUCAAGCACCACCAUGAAUUAAACAUGGGUCUCCUCUUGAUUCUAGGUUUAACGAACGACUCUGCCAUGCCAUUCCUCUCACAAUUUACAUGAUGAAAAAGCACCGAACCAAUCUCAAUCACAAUUCAAUGAAUGUCAGAAAAAUACCCCGAAGCUUCCUGUUGGGGUUAUCAGGACAUAGAACAAGGAAGCAAGAUGCAUGAAAUAUUUUUACUUGCUCACAAUCUUGCAGCAAGGGAGAUUAUGGCUGAUAGCUCAUUUUGCUCAUUCAUUCAACUAGAAAACAAUACAUUUAUAACCAAAUACAUCACUAAAUACUGCCUACUACCACUAAGUAGCCUAGUAACUUGUUAACAUUGCUUGUGCACAUAAACAAGCCACCUAAACUAGUCAUUCAACUACCUAAACACUUCAAGCUUUUAUCAGCUUGUUCAUUUUCAACUAAUUUAAUUACAAUGUAACUAAACAAAAAACUUGUUAAUGCAGCAUGCACAAGAGCUGCAACAUGCAAAUAGCUUGCAUGCACUUUAAAAAAAAUAUAACAACAGCAUGGUUGGCCACUUUUCAACACUUCCAUGGUCUUUCAGAUUUGUUUUUUAUACCAACAAUCAGACCAUUAGCGUAGCAUCUUUUCGAUUGGAUAAAAAGAGCAAGAGUAUGCUUAAUUGCUGCAAUUUCCGCAAGUCCAUUAUCUUACCUAAAUUCUCCACGAUCAAUUAUCUCGUUAAAUUCUUUACUGCCUUCAAUAUUACCACUACAGUCUAUUCUUUCGCUUCUAUCUUGAACUACGUUAAAAUCGCCCAGCACACCCAAUUACCAUUGUGAGAGCUUCUCAGGUCCAAGACCUUCUACCAUAGCACUUUUUGAUCAAUUACAGAACACGAAGCAUAUAAAUUUUGGAUCCAACACUCAAAGAAUCAAUAUCCCAGACGACCAAGAGACCUCUUGAGCGUCCAAUUGAAGGGGAGAAAGAGAAUCCAAAAACAUCAUAAGGCCACAAAGAUCUAAUCUUCUGAUCCUUCACACUCACCAUUUUACUUCCAUGAAGACAGUUCGUGUCCAAUUUAUUAAGAACUACUGCUAGUCUCACCACUUUGUACUUAAUUUUAGCACCAAUACCCCUGAUAUUCCAAGAUAGGAUCGACAUUUGGAUCAAAGGCAAUAAAGCCACAAAAAACACUAGCAAGCAUAAACACAACCAAAAUUUAAAGAAAACAGAAACCGAUGAAAAUACCAACCAAAAACCUGCAACACACCAGACCUGCAGCAUAUUGAAUCGACAUUCUUAACCAAGUUUCUAUCGUUGCAUUCUAAAGUAAUCAACUUUACCUAGUCUUCACAAUUCGCAGACAACCCCAAAAGCUUUCCCACAUUCCAAGUUCCUUCGCCACUUGACUCAAGGUUCUUCGCCUAUUCUGCAGAUCUGAGUCAGUGAGAAUCUGACUAGCAAAUCUAUCACUCUAGUUUGAGUUUUCCAACCCCUUCUUUUACUAGUUCUUAUCCGCUCUUUCCCAAAAGAUAUCUUCAAUGUCGUCGGUGGAUUUCAACCUUCUCUCCUUCUUAGUAGCAACAACGACAAUUUCCCAAUCUAAAAGUUACCACAUAUGUCUUCACCUGGACUAGAAGAAGAGAACACCUUCUCCAUAGCCCUCCUUGCAUUAUAGUCCACCAGGCAAGAUUGGCCCACAUCAGUAUUCACCUCAUUUUUGAUCCAUUCAACUUUGGGUCAGAAGGGAACCCAUCUUGAAUGUUCUCCCCAUUUAAGUCAAAACGGUGUGUAUCUUAAAUAGUAAUUGACUAAGAUAAAUCUUCAUUUCUAGAAAUUUUUUACCCAGCUGUACUAAAGCACCUCUGAGCAUCCUCGUACAAAGAUCUUUCUUUGGUUUCUAUGCCGCCCGCAUUUGACAUCUCUAAGAACUGCUCAUCGAGUGCAUAUCCUCUCUCCCUCCCCCCCUGUGCUCUCGUCAUUUAGAAUCUAAAUCGCUAUCUUCUCAUUGUCAUAGUAACGACUAGCUAACUCAUCGGAACCGAUAUCGGUGAAGAAAGAAAAGGGGUCGAAGCUAUAACACAACCGACAACUCAAGGACAUCACUAAAUUCCAUUACUAUGAUGUCGAGAAAAUUCAGCAUAUUUAAUAAUACAAUGAGAUUUAUAUUAUAUAUUUUCAAUUUUUUUAAUACUCAUUUUGUACAUUCAAAAUUUUUAAAAUUAACUGUAUCGAGGAGUGUUUAUCACAAUUUAUUAAUAUGAUACAGUACAAAUUUUAAAUAUGUAAAAUAUCGUAGUUAUACAUAUAUGCAACAAAUUUUAUUCGAAGAAAAAAUUUAACUACUAAUUAGAUUCAUUUAAUUAUUAAUUAUGCUGUCUAUGAGACAUGUUUCCUUUCCCUUAAGAAAUAUUAAUUAAAUAAUAAAUUUAUCAAGUGUACGAUAGGUAAAUAACUAACUACUUUUCAUAAAUUCUCUUUUCUUUCAAGGGUGGUAUUGAGAACUCUAAUUGUUCUCUUAUUUGUCUAUUUCUUUCCACUUCUAAUGACCAAAAGUAAUUAUUACUAAUAAGAUAUCCAAGAAUCAAGUAAUAAGUGUCACAAUUCACAAUGCCUAGAACUAUCUAUAGUGAUCUCUUCUCAAUCCAUAAUUAGGAGGAUAAUGCACUUCAGCACACUUAAACCAACAUACUCCUGCAUUGACAAUAAUACCUAUACUAAUCGAGUUAAGACUUAAUCGGUAAAACUUAAGUAUAAUUGAGUGACUGACGAUGUUGCUUGUUCUUCCAUAACACAAUAAUGAUUCUUUUAUUAUUUAUGCUCAAUUGAUUUUUUUUCCCUGUCAAUGCUAAUAAUUUUAUUUUGUAAUAAUAUAUUUCUAACAACCUAGGUCAUUCAUCCUAAUACUAUUCUCGCUCAAGCACAAGAGAAUUCUGAUAUAAUUUGGUGCAUUAAUAUUAGUAUCAUCUCACCCUCAAAAACGUAUAAAUAAUGACUAAAUUAUUUCAAGCCUCCUCAUUAAUGGUAAGACAUUACAGCACAGAUAUGAUAUUUUACCUUAUCUACGAAGGAACAAAAGGAAAGAUGACAACCAUAUCCCACUCAAUUACCAUUUAAAUGCUUUGUUAAAUAUGGAAAUCACAAUAGAAUAACUAAAGGAGCAACUGGAUUCAGUGUUGAGAGAAGGAAAAAUGAGUGGCUUGAUGGAGCUUGUGAUUCUUGUCGCGUGUUGUUUCUUCCUCGUAACUUUAAUCAAGUUCCUUUACGAUUAUCUGUGGAUACCUCUGCGUAUACAGGAUAUACUGAAUUCACAGGGAAUCAAAGGACCUCCUAUCAGAUUCAUCCAUGGCAACAACAAGGAAAUUGCCAAAAUGAAACAAGAAGCAUUAGGCAAACCUGUGGCCUGGACAGAUGAUUUAUUUCCCAGACUACAGCCACAUAUUUACAGCUGGAUCAACAGAUAUGGUAAGAUCCAUGCAGUUUUUUUUCACUAAGAUUUAUAACUCGUAGUUCUAAGAAAGAUUGAUCCUUUUUCUUUUUAUGUGAUUAGGGAAGAACUUUGUUUAUUGGGACGGUGCUCGAGCUGAAUUGGUGAUUUCUGAGCCUGAACUUGUUAAAGAGGUUUUGAAAAAUAGUAAAAAUAUUUUUCAAAAAGUGAAGCUUCCAGAAAUUAGUAGGAAGCUCAUGGGGAAUGGGCUUGCGUUCACUGAGGGGGAAAAAUGGGCAAAGUAUCGAAAGCUAGCCAAUCACACUUUCCAUGGGGAAAGCCUAAAGGUAAAUCCUCCAAAUAUAUAAACUUGGUGUAAUUAAUUUACGAGAAUUAUACACACACUACAAUAUUUUAGUAAAGUUUUGUAUUGUUUGCUAAGGAUGAGUUUCUCAUCGAAGUUAAGAAGUAUCGUGAAAAAAUAUUUUUCAAAAGUUUGAUUAUGUUUACCACAUAAAAUGUUAGAUAUAAAUUAAAAAAAGUAAUUUCAUUGAAAGCAUUAUUCCAAAAAAAAAAAACAAAAUAAUUAUUUUUUGGCUUUCUAGCUUAGAAUAAAAUCUAAUUUGAAUUCAUGCAUGGUUUUGUGUUGAAAAGUGUUUUCCAUCGCUACUACUUACAUAUUGGAGGAUUCUUUGGACAGAACAUGACUCCAGCAAUGAUUGCUAGUGUUGAAACAAUGCUAGAAAAGUGGAAGGGCCAAGAAGGCCAGGAGAUUGAAGUGUUUCAAGAAUUUAGAUUAUUGACUUCAGAAGUGAUUUCCAAAACAGCAUUUGGUAGCAGUUACUUGGAGGGGGAGAAGAUUUUUGCCCUGCUGUACAAGUUGAAAAUACUUGUUAAUCUAAAUAUGUCCAAGACUACAAUUCCUUUCAUCAAGUAUGUUCCCUAUAACCUUAGUUAAUCCCAAGUUUUUCCUUUAUUUCAAUUAGCUUUUGAAUGCAAAUUUUGGACUUUUAUUCCCCAUAGCUUUUGGUUUUCUCCUUAUAUAUAGCUUACCAUAGUUUGCUUUUCCAGCAAGCUAUGGAAAUCUACUGAUUUGCUAGAGUCUGAAAAACUUGCAAAAGGAAUACAAGAUUGUGUAAUAAAGAUUGUUAAGAAGAGAGAAGACCAAGUUGUGAAUGGGGAAGCCGAUAGCUUCGGCAAUGAUUUUUUUGGAUUACUUGUAGAUGCCUAUAAUGAUUUGGAUGAGAAAAAUAAGCUUUCAUUGCAAGACCUGGUAGAUGAAUGUAAAACUUUCUACAUUGCCGGACAAGAAACAGUUAAUUCCCUACUGGGAUGGAUAGUCUUGCAUUUGGCAAUCUAUGGAGAUUGGCAAGAAAAAGCAAGAAGGGAGGUGAUUGACAUAUUUGGUAACCAAAAUCCUCAUCUCGAAGGCAUCACCAAACUUAAAACAGUAAGCAAACAAUCAAACCAAGAUUUUAAAUAGCCUUCACAACAUGAUGUAAUCUAACAUAUUUUCUAUUUUGCAAACAGAUGACCAUGAUCAUCAAUGAAACUCUAAGAUUGUAUGGUCCGUCAAAUGGCUUGGCAAGAACAGUUGCAAGAGAAGUACAGUUGGGAAAGUUAGUCUUGCCUGCUAAAUUAGAUAUUCUGCCUCUAAAUAUUGGACUUCACCGUGACCCUCACUUGUGGGGGGAUAAUGUGCAUCUUUUUAAACCAGAGAGAUUUGCCGACGGGAUUGCCAAAGCUACCAAUUACACCGCGGCUGCAUUUUUGCCCUUCGGAUUGGGUCCUCGAUCUUGUGUUGGUAUGACAUUUGCAACAAUAGAAACCAAGAUUGCUCUGUCCAUGAUUCUACAACGUUACACCAUUACUCUUUCCCCUGCCUAUGUCCACUCUCCAAUACUUAUUCUCACCGUUCGACCACAACAUGGAAUUCAAGUAAUAAUUGAACCGCUACAUAAUAAUUUUUGAAUUACAUAGCUAUUAAGAGAUGACAAUUAAUAUAUCUAAGGUUCUAGCUUUUACUGCCCCUUCUCUAUUCCUAAGCUAUUCCCACCUUUAUAUAUAAUGAUAUGCAAGUAGCUACCGGUUUCCCAUAUGGUAAAACAUGCAAUCAAUAAAAAAGAAUGUGUUAAGGCAAGUUUUAGGAGUAGUGACUCAAGAUGUGACUGUUACACUUGGCACUACGCAAGCCACAAAAUUUUCCUUAUUUGUUGGUAAUUUUGACCCAAAUAUUUUGAUUAUUUGCUUGCAUCUUUUUUAGAAUUUGAUGCGGUCGUUGAAAGCACAAAAAAUAUCUUAUCCCUAAUAAAUAAUGAAAAAGAAUAGUAAAAGGGAAGUUGGGUCAAAUCCUUAGGGACUGAACUUGCAAAAUAUCUUGCUCCGUAAAAUCCUAGGCAAAAUCUUGCCCAAGAAAACUUGGGUACCUGAAAAAAAUAAAAUAAAAAAAUAACAUAAUUAAAUGUUUGGAUUUGAAAACGAAAAAUAAAAUAAAAACAAAUUUAAGAAUAUUGAAUCUAAAAUUAGAGAAAUUAAAAAUAGAAUUGAGAGAAAAGAAAUUCUUAUGGGAGAUUCCAGCCUCCAGUUGUCUCGUUCCGCCUUGGGUUCAAUCCUCGGCUUUUAGAUGAUCCUUCCCAAACCCAAUAAGCCAGUUAUAGUGGAAGAGGACGCCUACGACCACCAGCUCCAAGGAUUUAGACUUACGAUUUAGUGGAAUUUGACUCUAGCCAACAAUCACUUCUGUGGGAUCGUCUUAUGCUAGAUCAACGCUUCUCAAUGGCAAAUCCCACGCCAUUUUGUCUCUUGGGCUCGCCAACCUCUGACGCAGUAAGCUAACGAACCGACUGUGCAACCUUCCCAAAACAUACAAAGCGGCCGCCUUUGCAUACGUUGAAAAACUUACUUUUUAAGGGACAUGGACGGAAGCGUCAGCCCCGUAGUGCGGAGAAACGAAGAAUACUCAGCGAGGAGGCUAAGUACGAAUUCUAAGCCUCAUGAACUCUUUUGGGGAUUUUUGACAACCUUCGGCUAGAUGGGUUUAGUGGCUCAUGGUUGUGGUAGAAAAGAAAAUAAAUAAAUAAAAAUAAAGAUUUUAUUAAAAAGAAAUAUGAGAAGAACAAAAGCCUAAACUUUUGGGGAGAAAGUGUUUUCAGAAAAAUAUCUGGAUCCCCUUUUGAGUCACUUCACCCCCUAUUUAUAGUGCUAGGGGAGAUAGUCUAAUCCUACUUAAAUUCCUAAAAGAUAAAUACAUUUAAUUGAAGAUAAAUAAAGAUAAAAUAAAAUCCUAAAAAUAAUCCUUAAUAAUUAUCUCAAUAUUAAUUAUCCUAAUAUAAUUAAAAUAAAGUUUAAUAGAAUAAAAUCUCUUCUUUUUGCAUUUCAACCCUUGUGUCCUCCAUGCUUGCACUUUUGGCACCAACUUUUCCUCUUGUGUCGCACAUUGGCCCAUUUUAUCUCUAAAUUCACGCUUUUGGCCCUAAAUUUUGCUUUUGCCUCAAAUUUAGUCCCUAUGAGAUAAAAGAUCAUAAAUAGCUCAAAUUAGCAAGAUCAUACUCAGAAUAAAUACAUAAUUAAUACAUAAAAAUACAUUAUUCUAGAGUGUUAUCAGAAUAUUGUUUAGAUAAUCUCGUGUUUAUUAUUAAAGAAGAGAUUGAAUCAAAUAAAAUUACUUUUCAAGGAUUCUUAUGUGGCCUACUUACCUUAUAUACUAAGAUAUGCAAUCCAAGAAGAUGUAGACUAACUUUAUGAUAUUUUAUAUCCUUAUAUUAAUGAUAAUUGAUUUGAUGAGAUUUUGAUAAAUCAAGAUGAAUUAAAAGUUACUUUGUGAAGGUGGGUUUGUGCUCUAAAUAUGGAAGGUGUAAGGCCCAAUAUUUGCCCGGCUCAUAAACCAAAAAAUAAGCCAGUUAAAAGCCCAUGAAUCAAAAAAUAAUAAUACAAAAACAAAAUUAAUAAUAGUCUAAAUGUCCAUUUACAGACAUCAAACCCAAUCAACCCAAUUGGCCUAGAUCCUAGCCCAAACCUAAACCCGAUUCUAAUGCCCAUCAGCCAACCCCAGCCCAAUGGCCCAAAUCCACCGAAACCCUAGCCUUCUUUAGCAGCAUUCACCCCCCAACCGCCGCAACAAUGGCCUCCUCUCCCUAGCCACGCGCACCUCACGCACGUAGCGCCAUCACGAGCCUCCAGUUGGCCUCGUACGGCCUCGCACCUGCAACAACCUGCAGCGAACGCAACAAACAAAGCAGGGGCAGACCAAAACAACAGAAAAUGAUAGCAAAAAGGGCAGAAAUAGUAGGAUAUUCUUGGGGAACUUUUUUCAUUUUUUCGGCAAUAAAAAGGCCAUUUUCCAGCAUUUGUAAGGGAGGGGGGAACGCAUAUUGUAGAACAUACGCAGAAAAUCAAUACAAAAGAAAGAAAAAAAAAAGGUUUUCUUUUCCUUCCACUUUCUUUUCUUCUCCGAUGGUUUUUUUCUUAUCGUUUGUUAUUAGCCUUAUAUAAGUCUAUAUAUAUAGAGCAAAUAACAGAAAGAGGGAGAAGUUAGAACUCUUACCUGGCCGCCGGAUCUCUGACCAUCUCCGUCGCCAUCGGAGUCUCGGCAGGGGUCGAGAGCGCAAGAGAGGCGCAGAGAGGAGAGCGUUUAAGUUCUCUAUUUUUUUUUGUUUUUUUAUUUAUUUUAUUUUUCUUUUAUUUUUUCUCUUUCUUUUCGUUUUGAAAGAAUGAAAGGAUGCCUAUCAGAUUAGGGUUUUAACUUUGGCCCUUAUGGGAUGUGAAACGACGCCGUUUGGAGUCUGAUCAGUGGCUCCAAAACGGUGCCAUAUUGGAGCCAUGACCCGAUAACCCGAUCCGAUCGUGGCUUGACCUGCGUGUUUUGAAAAGGGAGGGUUAUUUGCGCUCCAAGUCCUCCUUGUUUGUGUUUGGUUUCAAGUUGGUUUAUGCUGCUUCUUUUAAAUUUGGCCUGUCAUUUCAUUUCUGUUUCAUUUUAGUCCGUGUUGAAACGCUGGGUGUUAGGGUGGGGAUUAUUUCCUGAUUGGUCAUUCGCCCUUUUAGCGCGUUUUAUUUUGGUCCCUGGACCAUUCUUUUAGUUAUUUACAGCUUUAAUCUCGAAAUUCAUCUUAAUUUUUAAUUUAGUCUUUUUAUUAUUCUGUUUAUUUUUUAUUUAUUUUUAUUUAAAAUUAAUAAGUUUAAUAUUAUCACCAUUGGUAUUACUAUUAUUGCCAUAUUUCUAUUUAUUUGUUUAGCUAAAUGUAAAUAUCUUUAAAUAUCUUUAUUAUUAUUAUUUUUUACCCACUUAUACUGUUUUUAAACUUUGUUUUAUAUAUAUAUAUAUACUUAUAUAUAUUUUUAUAUUCUAAUCUAUAUGCAUUUUUAUUUAUAUAUAUAUGUAUAUACAUGGGACUUCUAUAUUUUAUAUUCUAUAAUCUAUAUGCAUUUUUAUUUAUAUAUAUAUGUAUAUACAUGCGACUUCUAUACUUUAUAAUUUUUUUAAAUAUAUAUAUAUAUAUAUAUAUAUAUAUAUGCACGUAUACAUUUUUAUAACCUAUACAUAUAUUUAACAAUUCCUAAAUAUAUAUUUUUAUGUUCUAUUGUUUUAAAUAUGUACAUACUUAUAUUUUCAUAUAUAUUUCUAUAAUUUAUAUAUAUUAAUAUAUCAAUACACAUUUUAAUUUCACGAAUAUAUAUAUACUUACAUGCUUUUUUAUCUUACAAAUUUUUUAUACCUAUAUAUACAUAUAUAUAUUACUCUUGUAAUUUUAUUCAUUUCUUUAUUUAUCUUUUAUUUAUAUUUUCAUCAUCAUUUAGAAUGAAUGUUUUAAUUUUAUUGCUUAUAUGUUUGCAAUUGUGUAUUUUAUUAGUUUGUCUUUGUAUUUAUUUUACUUCGUAGCCCUCGUUUGUAUUAUUUUGCUUACAUCAUCAUCAUUCCAUUACGCCCAUUUUAUUUAGAUUUUCAAAAAAAAAGAAAUUUAAAAAAAAUAUAAGUAAUAAUCGGUAUUUGGGAUCUUCGAAAGAAUCAAGCCCUAACGUAUUGGGUUCCGAUUUUCUUCGUUGAAUCUAAAUAAUCAAGAUUUUCUUUACAUACAAAUUUCAAAUAACCCAUUCUCGGGAAUUCGACACGUUGUGUCCUAACGCAUUGGAUAUGACAUGUUAUUUUCUCGAGACGAGGAUUUUUCUAACAAAGGCAAUAUUCGAUAUUUAGGGAUAUUGUGAAAUCAAGCCCUAACUUACUGGGUCUUGAUUUUCUCAUUUAAUUCAAAUAAUCGGAUAACCUUCUUAAAACGCAUGGGUUUUAAAAGUCAAGAGAUAAAUUUAAUUUUGAAGAUUUAAAAUGUUGCACUCUAACUUACUGAGUGUGACGAUUUAUUUCUUUGAAAUAAGUGAAUCUCAUCGUCUAAUUCAUUUUAUCCAAAAGAAAAGGAUCGUAUUUUAAAAUCUUUUCAAAAUUUCGACAUUAAGACGUUAAACAAUCAAUUCGGUACCAAUUUUGGGCGUUACGAGGGUGCUAACCCUUCCUCGUGCGUAACCGACUCCCGGACCUAUUUUCUCAGAAAUUCGCAAACCUAAAAUUAUUUUCAAGGUGACCCGAUCACACCUUAAUAAUAAAAGAUCGGUGGCGGCUCCCAAUUUUCAUUUUCAAAAGUCGAUCCACGGUUUUCUAAAAUGGUUUCGAUAGAAGGCUUGUUCAACCUUGAUAAAUGUUUUAUCAUUGAGGUAGACUUUUUUGAAGUAGUUGCCAAAGUGCCAAUGGUAGUGUCCUUCGUAUCUAGCACUACAACAAGCAACAAAACUUGUCAUUUUUGGUGUUGAAAAUCUUUUCCACAAAAUCAAUUGGGCAAUGACUUGUGGACGUGUGCUGGUACACGGUUUACAAAUUGAUUUUCAUGAUAUUUGAAUGUAUUUGAAAAUGUUUACAAAUUGGUACCAAAGAUGAGAAAGGAUCGAAUUGUAAAAUGAUGUUUAGAAAUGUGUACUAAGCCCGAAUGAACAUAUGAUAGGAUACAAUUGGCAUGCCAAUAGGGGCAUUUCGCACGCUGUAUGGGUUUGAUAUGUGAUGAGGUAAUGAUGUGCUGAUCACACUGAUUGUAUCAAAAUUUAGCAUUUAUUGCGAAUUAUUAAGUUAUAGUUACAGUGAUUCAGGUGUAUUUUGGGGGGAGGAUGUGUAGCCUAUAAGCUUGGCACUCAGUGCCGAGGUGUGUUUCUGGAGGGAUGUAUAGUCUACAGGCUUGACACUUAGUGCCCAAGUGUGUUCAUCAAUGGUAUGGCUCGUUUGAGCAAUCAUAUGUGUUUUAAGUGGUUACCCAUGUAUUCGUAUUUGUUCAUUAUAGUUCAUCAAGUUAACGGUUUUUAUAAAUGGGACAUUGGUUGAAUAGUAAUAAAUAUAAUAUAAUAAAUGAUAGAUGAAUGAUGUAAAGUUUGCUUAUGUUCAAUGGUUAGUUGACAUGAUAUUGAUUUGGAUCAAUUUGUAUAAUAUGGAAUGAUAUGACUUAAAUGUGAUGAACUCACUGUUGAUAUGAAUUGUGGUAAUAGGAUAAAUCGUUUAGUUAAUUGUUUUGUCAUGUAAUUGUGGGAAUUAAGGUAAGUUACAUUGUUUUAAACCUAUGAACUUACUAAGCUUAUUUAAAGCAUACUCUGUUUCAUUUUCUAUUUCUUGUAGUUAACAUUUUGCAGAACUAGGUGAUAGGAUCAUCUCGAAGGUCAUACUAUCCAACCUCCACUUUGGUAGACUUUUAAACCAUUAAACUCGGUGAUGUGGCAUGUAAUAGGAGUUGAUUUGUAAAUACAUGUUUUGUUGAAGUUGAGUGUUAAAUGGUGAUGUAUAAUUGUAUAUAUGUUUGUUAGCAAGUUGAUAUGCUAACUUUUGACUUGAAUGAUAGCAUUUGAAUGUAAUGUUUUGGUGAUAGGGUCAUUUAUGCGUGAUGAUAAUUUGGUGUUUGGAUUUCAUAUAAGGCAUAUAUGUGAUCAUAAUCUAAUUGACAUGAGAUAAGAUUAAUUACUUGAAUUGAUGCAUGUUAUAUUAUGGUGCUAUUGAGGCAUAUUAAUUAGAUUCUAGGGAUCAUGGUUUGUGAUUUAUUUUGGCAUGAAAUUGUACAUUUUGGAUGAGUUAUCAAGUGGAUAGUUAUUAUGCAUAACUUAGGUGAUGAAUUGAUUUUGAUAGUUUGUUGAAAAAGGUACCUUUUUUGUAUACACAGGCUAACACACGGCCAAAUAUUACACACGGGUAAGUGACAUGGUCGUAUGCUUUGUUUUUAAUUGGGAGGUUUUGGGUUACACAGUUCCAAUUUGUUACAUGGGGUGACCACACGCCCAUGUGAUACUGUAGAUUUGGUCAUUAGAAUUUCCACACGGUUUUAGUCUCUCUCACAGCCUAGCCACACGGCCGUGUGAUUGUUUGUAAGUUUUUGCAUUUAGGUUUCCACGAUUUCAUUGAGUUACACGGCCAGGUUACACGACCAUGUGACUCGAAUUUCGCACGGUCACCGAUUGUAACACGGCCUAAGCACACAACCAUGUAACCCUGUAUUGCAAAUUUCUCCUUGAUGUUUAAAAGUUUGUAAUUAAGUCUUUAUUUGUUUCUAGGUUGGUUUAAGAGCUUUCAUAAGCUUGAUUGAGACUCGUAAUUGUUUGUAGGUCAUAUUAUAAAUGAACUAUAAAUUGUUUUGUUGUUUCAUUGAAUGUUAAAGUUAGAAAUGUAUGUGAUUUAUUCAGUUAACUGUUGUAGAAUCCUGUAGCUCGGGCCCGACAACCGGACCGGGUGAGGGGUGUUACUUACCAAUAAUGAUGAUCAAGUGGAAUGUUCCAAGAAGUAUGUUUUGAUCCUUGUUGAAAUCUCUAACCAUCAAGUUAUUUUUUCAUUAUUGUGGAGCUCUUGGUCAUAUUAGACCUAAAUACUUUAACAUGUUGAAAGAUUAAUGGUGGAAGCAAGUAGUGGCAGAACCAACGCCCACUGCUCCUAUCACUGCUCCAGGUCAAGGGUAAAAAUCUAUAUGAGGGAGAAUGAGAGGUCAUCUCAUGGAUUUGAUGAACAUAAGAAGAGAAACUGGGUUAUCUGUCAUUAUUGUAAUAUGGUUGGUCAUAUCAAACCGCAUUGUUAUAAGAUGUUGAAUGACCUGAUAUGACAAUUGUUUGAAGACAAGUUGCAACUCAAUCAAGAUACAACUAGAAACAUGUAUGGGUGAGAAAAGAUUGACAAUUGAUUGAUGUAUGUUAGAAUCGUGAAGUGGAAACUGACGCAACAACUUUUGAAAAUCAAGAUGAAAAUAUUUAUGCUCUCUAGAGAUCUUGUGGUAAAAAUCCUUGUUGCUCCAUGAGUUAUAACUCUCACCUACAGAGCUAUUGAUAAGUUAGCAUCCAUUGCACCCUAUGUUGAAACACCUUAUUGAGGGGGAGUGUGUUAAUGCUACAAUUAAGGGGGAGUUUCUUCUUUGCCAUGCUUUUUGUUAUUGAUUCUGUUUAUUCAUGAUGUUGCCUACAUGUUAUUACUUUAUGUAAUUGAUAAAACUUUAGCUUAUGGAGAUGUCGAGAAGAGCGGCAACCUUGGCCAAACUGCUAGGUAAUGCCAUAAUAUAACCCAUGGCCCAUCCAUUAGCACCUUUGAGUAAUCAUCGUCAUCCUGAAACUUGAUCAAGUAAAAAUCUUUCUUCAAAUCCAUUAAUUGAAUGGAUUUAUUCAGCUUUCAGAGUACAUACACCUUGUUAGAGAAAGCAUUAAAAGUUAUGCGUCGGCCCAAAAGUUUGAUGUUGACAGUACCCACACCAUUACGCUUCUCAAUAAAUUUGUGAACCUGAUUUGAAAAACUAAUAGAAGGUAUUCCAUCAACAUUGGUCGUUGUGAUGUCCCCCUCAUGGAACUCAAAAUCAUCAUCUUGUGAAACACUAGAAUGAUGUAAUGAAGAACCCAAAAAACGUGUCCUUAAAGGAUGUCCUAGGCAUCAUUGGUUCCUUCAUCUGCAAACCAUUCCCAUCAACCAUCGGAUCAUCAAUAUCCGGUGGCUCAUCCGGUCGCCUCCAUACCUUCUUGGUUGUCUGACCAAAGUUGACACUGGAAGUAGCGGAGUUGGAGCCAAUCACAAAAGCACCUCUGGAGAAAUUCUAUAACAUGUAAGUCAUUUAAUCAAUAAGAUAAAUCAAUAAUCAAUAAUCGCUAUAUGAUUAUUUUAAUACUCGUAAGUACCUGCUGCUCCAAAAUAAUAAUAAUUAAGCCUAGACCUGAAUUUGAUCUGCUCCAACAAUUUGUUUCAUUACUAAUCUAUUAAUAAAAUGUUGAAAAAUAUAUUUUUUAUAUUAAUAUGAUCAUUAAAUUUAUAUUAUUUUUAUUUUUUAAAUUGAAUUUAGGUGAGAUGAAUGAAAACUAAUAUUAAAAAGGUCAUAAUUUUCUAUUAGAUCUUGUACUUUGCGUAAGUUAUGGAUUUAGUACUUAUACUUUAAUUUGGUUAUUUUCAGUCCUUGUACUUUUAAAUUUGAAAAUUUUAGUCAUGACCAAAUGAUUUAUUUUUAAAAAUUGAUGUGUCAAACAUAGUGUCACAUAUGUAAUGCUAUGUUUGUUUGUUAUUUUCACAUUUUAUUCACAAAAAAUUAAGUAAUAGAUUUAACGACCGUCAUUUGCAUUAAGAUUAAAAUUUUGAAAUUCAAAAAAAUCUAAUUGGUGAGUAUGGACUAAAUCUAUAACUUUAUGCAUAAUACAUGAAUAAUGACAUAAUUUAAUCAAAUAAAUUUAACUGUUACCAUUAAAUCAGGGCUACAAUUUCAAAAUUCAAAAUAAAUAAGAAUUAAAAUUAAAGUCUGAAGUUUAAUAUCAUAUUAGACCUAUAAAAAAAAACUCUCCGUCUAAAGUCUAAUCCAAGCCGGGCGUCCUACUCGGCAUGUGAACAAAACUACUCAUAAGGCGCGAUAGACAUUGAUGUUUUAACUUAUAUAAUAAUAUGUCUGACUUAUACUUCCAACUAAUCUUUAUGUUGUUCGAAGGAUCCAAAAGGAAAAAAGGACACUAACCCAUAUCCAGGAAUUGCUGACACGUUUUUUUUUGUCUCUUGUUUUUUUAAUGAUUGAGACAAGACUAAUACGACGGAGUUAAUUAUUGUGAUGAUAACUACCGAUUAUUAAAAAACCCCUUAAAUUACAAGGAGCAUCUGUUAUUGAGACUACAAGGAGCAUCUAAGUUCAGAAUUAAGACAAGCAAAAUGAGUGGCUUGAUGGAGCUUGUAAUUCUUGUCCCAUGUUGUUUCUUCCUCGUAGCUUUAAUAAAGUUCCUUUAUGAUUACCUGUGGGUACCUCUCCGUAUACAGCAUCUGAUGAAUUCACAGGGAAUCAAAGGACCUCCUUACAAAUUCAUCCAUGGAAACAAUGAAGAAGCUACCAAGAUGAGACAAGAAGCAUUAAGCAAACCUAUGGCCUUGAAGCAUGAUAUAUUUCCUAGAGUGCAGCCACAUGUUUACACCUGGAUCAACAGAUAUGGUAAGAUCCAUGCAUAUUUUUCACUAUAGUGUUCCAAUAUAGUAGUAAAUGAAAAUUUGUAAGUAAUUAAAAGUUGACUUGGUUACUAAUAAAAGUUGUUUAUUCAAAAGUGAUGCAGUUACUUGAUUAUUAAUAAAAAAAAUUAGGAUUAUUUUAGUAAUAAAUAAUGAACAAUUGUAUUUAUUUUUAACAAAUAAACAUCUAUUAAAUAGUUAUAUUUUUAUAAGUAGACAUUAGAAUUCGUAUAGAUAAGAGAGAAAUUUCAUUUUUAUAUGCUAAAAACCCAAAAACAAAGAAUUUAUCCAUUCUCCUUCAUCUUCAAAUAUUCAAAGGUUGUUUUAUCAAGAACUAUUGCAGAAGUUUUUAUAGAAUAUGAUACUUUUCCUAAUGUUCAGUGUACUAUUUUCAUUAAUAUAAAAAAGUGGCGUUGGUUAAUUUUUAUAAGUUUAUUUGUAUUCUUACCCACCAGUUCUAUUAAAUAGUUAUAACAAAAUUGACCCGUCAAAAGUCUUUGCUUCAUUCUCGUUACACGACAAUGAGCAAAGAGGGUCUUUGCUUCAUUCUCGUUACACGACAAUGAGCAAAGAGGAGCAGCUGUAACAGGUCAAUUUUGACCUAGGCCUAAAGACCCAAAACAAAUGAAAAUAACCCAAAAAUUACAGCCCAAAGCCCAGUAAAUUAAAAUUUGUUUCAGCAAAAAAACCUAGCCCUAGCCGCAUGCACACCUCUGCCAGGUGCGCCGCUCCAGCUCCUCACACGCCGCCGCCGCCCAAGACUCGCCUACCACCGGUCGUCCACGCGUCUGACACCUGCGAAAAUUAAAUAUAAUGGCAAAAAGGAAGCACGCGAGCAAUAAUAAUAGUUAACAGAUAAUAAAGAAGAAGAAAUCAUUUUGAUUCGGGUAUAAAAGCCCGAAUCUCACCGUUGUUUUUUUUUACGAACACACAUCAGUGAAUCAAGAAAUACAGAACUGAGAUUCUAAAAGGUUGAUAGAAAUCUGAUUAUUUUCUUUAGUUUUUUCUGAUUUCCGUUUCUUAUCAUCUAUCAUUUAUUUAUUUCAUUUAUUUAUCUACGCAUUUUUUACGAAAUUUUUACAAAGAAAACGUGAAAAUAAAAAGGGAAGAGGGGACUUACCGAGGAAGCGCCGGGAUCCAGCUCACGGAGGGUUCUCCUCCUUUGCGACCGCCGGAUCUAGAGGGUGCUGAGAAUCUUCCUCUUUUCUUUUUUAAGGUUGAAGGGUUCAGCCCUCGGGGUAUUCUAAGGCCGAGGUCUUUGACCUCUUUUCCUCCGUCGUCGGCCACCGGUCUUCAUGGCUGCGGCGGCGGUGCACUGGAGGCUAAGAAACCCAAGGGUCGGUGUUUGAAAAAAAGGGAAUGAUUUUGAAACUAAAAAAGGAAAAAGAAAACAGAGGCAAGAAUGAGAAUUUU
RNAcentral lists this long non-coding RNA (33950 nucleotides) under Gossypium barbadense (sea-island cotton). Its description in RNAcentral is "long non-coding RNA (GBAR_LNC013900)". Lineage: Eukaryota; Viridiplantae; Streptophyta; Magnoliopsida; Malvales; Malvaceae. The record is from RNAcentral.